Molecule: ribosomal RNA, 695 nt
Filed under: Microbacterium sp. E920
Lineage: Bacteria; Bacillati; Actinomycetota; Actinomycetes; Micrococcales; Microbacteriaceae
Description: bacterial SSU rRNA
Rfam family: Bacterial small subunit ribosomal RNA
Source: RNAcentral
UUGAACACAGGCAAGUCGAACGGUGAACACGGAGCUUGCUCUGUGGGAUCAGUGGCGAACGGGUGAGUAACACGUGAGCAACCUGCCCCUGACUCUGGGAUAAGCGCUGGAAACUGGCGUCUAAUACUGGAUAUGUGACGUGAUCGCAUGGUCUGCGUCUGGAAAGAAUUUCGGUUGGGGAUGGGCUCGCGGCCUAUCAGCUUGUUGGUGAGGUAAUGGCUCACCAAGGCGUCGACGGGUAGCCGGCCUGAGAGGGUGACCGGCCACACUGGGACUGAGACACGGCCCAGACUCCUACGGGAGGCAGCAGUGGGGAAUAUUGCACAAUGGGCGCAAGCCUGAUGCAGCAACGCCGCGUGAGGGACGACGGCCUUCGGGUUGUAAACCUCUUUUAGCAGGGAAGAAGCGAAAGUGACGGUACCUGCAGAAAAAGCGCCGGCUAACUACGUGCCAGCAGCCGCGGUAAUACGUAGGGCGCAAGCAGUUAUCCGGAAUUAUUGGGCGUAAAGAGCUCGUAGGCGGUUUGUCGCGUCUGCUGUGAAAUCCGGAGGCUCAACCUCCGGCCUGCAGUGGGUACGGGCAGACUAGAGUGCGGUAGGGGAGAUUGGAAUUCCUGGUGUAGCGGUGGAAUGCGCAGAUAUCAGGAGGAACACCGAUGGCGAAGGCAGCUCCUCUGGGCCGUAACUGACGCUGAG